This 253-nucleotide ribosomal RNA is filed under the name uncultured bacterium. RNAcentral's name for it is "partial 16S ribosomal RNA". It matches the Rfam family "Bacterial small subunit ribosomal RNA", at positions 524 to 776 of the family's 1533-position model. The record is from RNAcentral.
UACGUAGGGUGCAAGCGUUAAUCGGAAUUACUGGGCGUAAAGCGUGCGCAGGCGGUUUUGUAAGUCAGAUGUGAAAUCCCCGGGCUUAACCUGGGAACUGCGUUUGAAACUACAAGGCUAGAGUGCGGCAGAGGGGGAUGGAAUUCCGCGUGUAGCAGUGAAAUGCGUAGAUAUGCGGAGGAACACCGAUGGCGAAGGCAAUCCCCUGGGCCUGCACUGACGCUCAUGCACGAAAGCGUGGGGAGCAAACAGG